ACGCACCGCAAGGUGAGUGGCGCACGGGUGAGUAACGCGUGGGAACCUGCCCUGGAGUGGGGGAUAACCCGGCGAAAGCCGGGCUAAUACCGCAUACGUCCUGAGGGAGAAAGAUUUAUCGCUCUAGGAGGGGCCCGCGUCGGAUUAGCUAGUUGGUGAGGUAACGGCUCACCAAGGCGACGAUCCGUAGCUGGUCUGAGAGGAUGAUCAGCCACACUGGGACUGAGACACGGCUCAGACUCCUACGGGAGGCAGCAGUGGGGAAUAUUGGACAAUGGGGGCAACCCUGAUCCAGCAAUGCCGCGUGAGUGAUGAAGGCCUUAGGGUUGUAAAGCUCUUUCGGCGGGGACGAUGAUGACGGUACCCGCAGAAGAAGCACCGGCCAACUACGUGCCAGCAGCCGCGGUGAUACGUAGGGUGCAAGCGUUGUCCGGAUUUAUUGGGCGUAAAGAGCUCGUAGGCGGUUUGAUAAGUCGGAUGUGAAACCCCCAGGCUUAACCUGGGGCAGCCAUCCGAUACUGUCAUGACUCGAGUCCGGUAGGGGACCAUGGAAUUCCUGGUGUAGCGGUGAAAUGCGCAGAUAUCAGGAGGAACACCAGCGGCGAAGGCGGUGGUCUGGGCCGGUACUGACGCUGAGGAGCGAAAGCGUGGGGAGCGAACAGGAUUAGAUACCCUGGUAGUCCACGCCGUAAACGUUGGGCACUAGGUGUGGGGCCUAUUCAACGGGUUCCGUGCCGCAGCUAACGCAUUAAGUGCCCCGCCUGGGGAGUACGGCCGCAAGGCUAAAACUCAAAGGAAUUGACGGGGGCCCGCACAAGCGGCGGAGCAUGUGGCUUAAUUCGAGGCAACGCGAAGAACCUUACCUGGGUUUGACAUGUANGGAAAAGCCGUAGAGAUACGGGUGUCCUUCGGGGUCCUACACAGGUGGUGCAUGGCUGUC
RNAcentral lists this ribosomal RNA (940 nucleotides) under uncultured bacterium. RNAcentral's name for it is "bacterial SSU rRNA". It matches the Rfam family "Bacterial small subunit ribosomal RNA", at positions 66 to 1053 of the family's 1533-position model. The record is from RNAcentral.